This 257-nucleotide long non-coding RNA is filed under the name Elaeis guineensis (African oil palm). RNAcentral's name for it is "long non-coding RNA (EGUI_LNC056993)". The record is from RNAcentral. Lineage: Eukaryota; Viridiplantae; Streptophyta; Magnoliopsida; Arecales; Arecaceae.
UCUAUGUUUCAUGCAAAUAAUUUUUUUGGCAAUGGAUAUUUUGAUAAUGAUCUUCUAAUUCUAUUACUUAAUGAAAAUAUUUUUUAUGUUCAUGAAAAUAUAAAAAGAAAGAGAGAAGACAUAAAUAUGUCAUUUCUCUAGCAUUGCCACCUUGGUCAUAUUGGUGAGUCAAGGAUAAGCAAGUUAUACAAAGAAAAAUUCUUUGAACUAUAUAAUUUUGAAUCAUAUAGGACUUGUGAAUCUUAUUUCAUGGGCAA